ACGGACUUAAGGAACUUGAAAGGCAUCUUCAGCUCUCAUUUUCUGGAUUUGAACGUGCAAUUUAUAUUGUUCAGGAUUUCCAGAAUGCGGUUCAUUCCGCGUUGUUACAAGGAGAUUCAUUUGAGCUCUUGAAGGAUGUCUUCAUAGAAUGUCCUGAAGAAUUUCACGGCCACGCACAUGAAGGAUUAUACGACUUGAAGCUAAAAUGGACACAACUAGAACAGUGUUUUUGUCUAACAGUGAUCGUCAAGGUACAGAGUAUGGAUGGCUGCGUUCUUUAAUAUCUGUUCCUGCUGGACUUUUAUCCUUCUUUUUCUGGCGAAGAGGAAGAUAUUAGGCCUGAGGAGAAUUUGAAUCGCCUAGGUUUAUAUAUCUGUGGCGGUUAAGCCAUCAGCUAGUCGAAACUCAGCAUGAAGGUAUUUUACAAUAAUGUUCAGUGGAAAUCAAAAUAUUUAUGUGAUUUUACAAUUCAUAACUAUAUAAAGUGUUGUAAAGUGUUAUUAGCA
Long non-coding RNA from Mercenaria mercenaria, 506 nucleotides. RefSeq lists it as uncharacterized. NCBI's taxonomy places the organism in Eukaryota, Metazoa, Mollusca, Bivalvia, Venerida, Veneridae. The transcript is spliced from 3 exons. The record is from RefSeq and is a predicted model, not a curated record.